GGGGAGGCGUAGGGAAACCGAGUCUUAAUAGGGCGUUUAGUUGCAGGCAAUAGACCCGAAACCGGGCGAUCUAUCCAUGGCCAGGCUGAAGGUUAGGUAACACUGACUGGAGGGCCGAACCCACUUAUGUUGAAAAAUGAGGGGAUGAGCUGUGGAUCGGAGUGAAAGGCUAAUCAAGCCUGGAGAUAGCUGGUUCUCCGCGAAAUCUAUUUAGGUAGAGCGUCGGAUGAAUU
Molecule: ribosomal RNA, 233 nt
Filed under: Astrosyne radiata
Lineage: Eukaryota; Bacillariophyta; Fragilariophyceae; Cyclophorales; Cyclophoraceae
Description: partial Bacterial large subunit ribosomal RNA
Rfam family: Bacterial large subunit ribosomal RNA
Source: RNAcentral